GACGAACCGUGCGAACGUUGUUCGGAAUCACUGGGCUUAAAGGGCGCGUAGGCGGGCUGCCAAGUCAGGGGUGAAAGCCCACGGCUCAACCGUGGAAGUGCCUUUGAUACUGGCGGUCUCGAGGGAAGUAGGGGCGUGCGGAACUUCCGGUGGAGCGGUGAAAUGCGUAGAUAUCGGAAGGAACACCGGUGGCGAAAGCGGCGCGCUGGACUUCUACUGACGCUGAGGCGCGAAAGCCAGGGG
RNAcentral lists this ribosomal RNA (243 nucleotides) under uncultured bacterium. Its description in RNAcentral is "partial 16S ribosomal RNA". It matches the Rfam family "Bacterial small subunit ribosomal RNA", at positions 524 to 766 of the family's 1533-position model. The record is from RNAcentral.